This 338-nucleotide long non-coding RNA is filed under the name dengue virus type 2. Its description in RNAcentral is "Dengue virus type 2 partial sfRNA2". The stretch from base 170 to 241 matches the Rfam family "Flavivirus DB element". The record is from RNAcentral. Lineage: Riboviria; Orthornavirae; Kitrinoviricota; Flasuviricetes; Amarillovirales; Flaviviridae.
AAGAAGUCAGGCCACUACAAGUGCCAUAACUUGAGCAAAUUAUGCAGCCUGUAGCUCCACCUGGGAAGGUGUAAAAAAUCUGGGAGGCCACAAACCAUGGAAGCUGUACGCAUGGCGUAGUGGACUAGCGGUUAGAGGAGACCCCUCCCUUGCAAAUCGCAGCAACAAUGGGGGCCCAAGGUGAGAUGAAGCUGUAGUCUCACUGGAAGGACUAGAGGUUAGAGGAGACCCCCCCGAAACAAAAAACAGCAUAUUGACGCUGGGAAAGACCAGAGAUCCUGCNNNNNNNNNNNNNNNNUUCCAGGCACAGAACGCCAGAAAAUGGAAUGGUGCUGUUG